ACUCCUACGGGAGGCAGCAGUGGGGAAUAUUGGACAAUGGGGGCAACCCUGAUCCAGCCAUGCCGCGUGAGUGAUGACGGCCUUAGGGUUGUAAAGCUCUUUUCUCCGGGACGAUAAUGACGGUACCGGAGGAAUAAGCCCCGGCUAACUUCGUGCCAGCAGCCGCGGUAAUACGGAAGGGGGCUAGCGUUGCUCGGAAUCACUGGGCGUAAAGGGCGCGUAGGCGGCUGAUUUAGUCGAGGGUGAAAGCCCGUGGCUCAACCACGGAAUGGCCUUCGAUACUGAUUGGCUUGAGACCGGAAGAGGACAGCGGAACUGCGAGUGUAGAGGUGAAAUUCGUAGAUAUUCGCAAGAACACCAGUGGCGAAGGCGGCUGUCUGGUCCGGUUCUGACGCUGAGGCGCGAAAGCGUGGGGAGCAAACAGGAUUAGAUACCCUGGUAGCGACUGA
Molecule: ribosomal RNA, 449 nt
Filed under: uncultured bacterium
Lineage: Bacteria
Description: bacterial SSU rRNA
Rfam family: Bacterial small subunit ribosomal RNA
Source: RNAcentral